GACCACAGUCAAGUCUGGGGCAAUCUGGGCCAACCCAGCCUGUUUCUUUAAAGGCUCGUGCUGGGAGGAGAGAUCCUCAUCCUGGGAAGACAUAGAGCCAGGCCCAGUCAGGUGGAUGCAAGAGAUGCUAUUCAGACAUGGCAGUGGGAUAGACGGACGAGUUCUGGAAUGAGCUCUGGCAUCUCAUCAGGAGCAUAGACUACUGCCUGAGGUCAGAGCCAACAGUCAGCAAAUACAGGGGAAAAGACUUUGGACCAUUGUAAGGAUUAGCCAGUUCUCUGGAACUAUGUGGACAGAGGUUCUGCAUAAGUAGGCAUCGUGUUUAUCUCAUUCUCUGUUUGAGCUGCAGCACUCAUUACAGGAGCAUGAGGCAAAAUUGGAUCUGAUAAAUCUCCACUGAAGGAGGAACUGGAGAUGGCUCUGACCAGCUACUGCAGCCGACACCAAGCUCUUGGAAGACAAACAAGAAGAGCAAGAGGAGAUGUUGCCAUAGUAGGAGGCAGGCCUCAGACCAGGAUGCUUCAGAGGCAGGCAGUGAAUUAUGGAGUUGCCCAGGGCCUAGGAGAACUGAGUGAGAUGCCAGAAGAUGAGGGGCCUCAGAUGCGUGGGCUCAGGGAUGCACACGUGAGCUUGUGUUAUCCUCUUCAGGACCAGCAAAGAGGAGUGAGUGGGAAGUCCUGUGCUUCUUCACACGUGAGCAAAAUACUCUGAGGGUGGGCAUCACACAGCUAGAAGUGAUAAA
This is a long non-coding RNA of Mastomys coucha (southern multimammate mouse), 742 nucleotides long. RefSeq lists it as uncharacterized. The transcript is spliced from 3 exons. The record is from RefSeq and is a predicted model, not a curated record. NCBI's taxonomy places the organism in Eukaryota, Metazoa, Chordata, Mammalia, Rodentia, Muridae.